UUUAUUCAAGUCAAUAAACAAUGAGUCCAUCUAAGCUAGCAACGAGAGAAUUUUUACAGCAAAUGGCUGCAAAUGUGUUUCCAGCCAUAGAGGUUUUAAGAUAGGCAUCGAAUAGAGCAUCAUA
Telopea speciosissima is the source of this 124-nucleotide long non-coding RNA. RefSeq lists it as uncharacterized. The record is from RefSeq and is a predicted model, not a curated record. NCBI's taxonomy places the organism in Eukaryota, Viridiplantae, Streptophyta, Magnoliopsida, Proteales, Proteaceae. The transcript has 3 exons.